This 922-nucleotide non-coding RNA is filed under the name Chalcorana macrops (Masarang frog). RNAcentral's name for it is "Hylarana macrops (Masarang frog) partial 12S ribosomal RNA". It matches the Rfam family "Bacterial small subunit ribosomal RNA". Lineage: Eukaryota; Metazoa; Chordata; Amphibia; Anura; Ranidae. The record is from RNAcentral.
AUCCUGGCCUUAUUAUUGGCUGUUUCUCAACUUACACAUGCAAGUCUCAGCACACCCGUGAGAACGCCCUUUCAAACCUUUUUAGGUUAAGGAGCUGGUAUCAGGCACAAUUUCUGCCCAUCACACCUAGUCUCGCCACACCCCCAAGGGUACCCAGCAGUGAUAAAUCUUGUUUAUAAGCGACAGCUUGACUCAGUUAGAGAAAAGAGAGCCGGCCAACUCGGUGCCAGCCGCCGCGGCUACACCCCUGGGCCCAAGCCAAUAAAUCUCGGCGUUAAGCGUGAUUAAAGUUAUUACAGAUUAAGAUUAAAUUAACACUUAGUAGUGACAAGCUUGUGAUUAAGAAAAACACAAACGAAAGUUAUCUUAACUAUUACACUUGAAUACACGACAGUUGGAAUCACAAACUGGAAUUAGAUACCCCACUAUGCCCAACCGUAAACAAUUAAAUUACAUCUUCAAGCGCCAGGGAAUUACGAGCAAUGCUUAAAACCCAAAGGAUUUGACGGUGUCCCACCCACCUAGAGGAGACUGUUCUAUAAUCGAUGAUCCCCGCUAUACCCAACCACUUCUAGCUACUCAGUCUGUAUACCUCCGUCGAAAGUCUACCAUGUGAACGUCCUAAGUAGGCUCAACGUCCUCAUCAAUACGUCAGGUCAAGGUGCAACUCACGAAGUGGGAAGUAAUGGGCUACAAUUUCUAAUCUAGAACAAACGAAAGGCUGUGUGAAAUCACAGUCACGAAGGCGGAUUUAGUAGUAAAAAGAAAAUAGAGAGUUCUUUUUAAUCUGGCUCUGGGACGCGUACACACCGCCCGUCACCCUCUUCGACUAUACUAUUUUAGUUUUUAACCCACCCAACUUAGACAAGAAGAGGCAAGUCGUAACAUGGUAAGUAUACUGGAAAGUGUACUUGGAUUAANN